RNAcentral lists this ribosomal RNA (488 nucleotides) under uncultured bacterium. RNAcentral's name for it is "partial 16S ribosomal RNA". It matches the Rfam family "Bacterial small subunit ribosomal RNA", at positions 28 to 507 of the family's 1533-position model. The record is from RNAcentral.
GACGAACGCUGGCGGCGUGCUUAACACAUGCAAGUCGAACGCGCCUGUCCUCUGGGUUUCUGGGGGGUGGGUGAGUGGCGAACGGGUGAGUAACACGUGAGUAACCUGCCCCCUUCUUCGGGAUAACGGUCUGAAAGGGCUGCUAAUACCGGGUAUUCACUGGUCUCCGCAUGGGGUCUGGUGGAAAGGUUUUUUUCUGGUGGGGGAUGGGCUCGCGGCCUAUCAGCUUGUUGGUGGGGUGAUGGCCCACCAAGGCGUUGACGGGUAGCCGGCCUGAGAGGGUGCCCGGUCACAUUGGGACUGAGAUACGGCCCAGACUCCUACGGGAGGCAGCAGUGGGGAAUAUUGCACAAUGGGCGCAAGCCUGAUGCAGCGACGCCGCGUGAGGGAUGGAGGCCUUCGGGUUGUGAACCUCUUUCGCCCGUGGUCAAGCCGCGACGUGGGUCGUGGUGAGGGUAGUGGGUAAAGAAGCGCCGGCUAACUACGUG